GUGGGGAAUCUUGCGCAAUGGGCGAAAGCCUGACGCAGCCAUGCCGCGUGGAUGAUGAAGGUCUUAGGAUUGUAAAAUCCUUUCACCGGUGAAGAUAAUGACUGUAGCCGGAGAAGAAGCCCCGCCUAACUUCGUGCCAGCAGCCGCGGUAAUACGAAGGGGGCUAGCGUUGCUCGGAUUUACUGGGCGUAAAGGGCGCGUAGGCGGACAUUUAAGUCAGGGGUGAAAUCCCGGGGCUCAACCUCGGAACUGCCUUUGAUACUGGGUGUCUUGAGUAUGAGAGAGGUGUGUGGAACUCCGAGUGUAGAGGUGAAAUUCGUAGAUAUUCGGAAGAACACCAGUGGCGAAGGCGACACACUGGCUCAUUACUGACGCUGAGGCGCGAAAGCGUGGGGAGCAAACAGGAUUAGAUACCCCGGUAGUCC
RNAcentral lists this ribosomal RNA (425 nucleotides) under uncultured bacterium. Its description in RNAcentral is "partial 16S ribosomal RNA". It matches the Rfam family "Bacterial small subunit ribosomal RNA", at positions 354 to 796 of the family's 1533-position model. The record is from RNAcentral.